AUAUACUUACGUCCUUGACUUUUAUUUAAAAUUUCUGUAAUUUCCUUGGGCUUCAAGCUCAGCAUAGUAAGAAUAAUACAGAGUCAAAACUCAAGUUGGGCUUCGGACUGACUUCAUUCAGGGCUAACCUUGACAUUCAGGCCAUUAACUUGCAAAUGACGGAGUUAUUUCACAUUUAUUCAAAUUAAAACUUGACACAAUCAUAUGUUUAUCUGAAUAAAAUUCAAAACAGUCUAAACUGUCUGGAUUGGAUUUAUAUUCUAAAAUUUAGAUUUUCUUAUCUAUUUACCUACUAGUGAACUUCGGGAUAUUACUAAGGGUAAAACAAACUAGGAAACAUGAAUUGAAUUUUAACAAAAAUAGUCAUGGAUAUAAACCUCAGUUGAGCAGGCUAAGCAACUUGAUUACGAGAUUUUACUUACACUAACAGGAACAAGUUAAUAGCCUAACUUCACACUUUAUUCACAUCUAAUUAUCAUACAUCUAAACUAAACUACUUAAUGAAAUGCAUAUGUUGAUAUGAGUAACUAAUCUACUGAUAUUAGCUACUGCAAUAAAAAGUUGUUUGAGACGUCUCUUCAACUUGAAAUUAAAAUUAAUGUGGACAUUGCGCUGAUCUCAAAAUCGAUUGCAACACCCAAACUAUUUCUGAUUUUUUUUAUUUUUAAAACAAAACCGUUAAACUAAAGCAAGUUCUAAUCUAUACUAAGGCUACAACUGGAUAAUAAAAAAUUAACAGUCCAAUUAGGUACAAAUUUUCCAAUUCGAGUUUCAUGUGAAUAUAAAUCCAAUUAGACUACACUACACAGUUACAUAUCAUUAAUAUCCACUUAACAACAGAUGUUUAGUCGUCCAAACAUGCAUCAUCGAGUAAACAGAUGUAUGAGUACUCUCAUUUCAUGUUCAUCUCAAAGCUACAUCAGUUUGAGUUCAAGUAUUUAUCUGGAAGUGUAAAUAACAAGAGAGAAGAGAGAGGUCAGCAGUAGCUUAGCAGAUGAUUAAAAUAACCCAGAACAGAAUCAACAAUCCAUAAUUGUUUUACAUCAAGCAGGACUGAGACAUCAACAUAAAACAACACCAAAAUAACCCAAAUAAACCCAAAACACUUCUGAAACUUUCAGCAGACAAAAACUCAACCAAAACCAGCUUGAUUAGACCCAAAAUCGCUCGAAAUCAACCUAGUAAACCUCUAAUACUUCAGCAACCAAACAUUGAGCUAGAAGAUGUGAAUCAAUGGCUAGAAUAACCUAAAGUUUUUCAAUGAAACAAUGUAUUUUUUUGGAUUUUCGAAGAUCUUUUGUUGUUUUUGGUUUUUGAAGAAUUAGAUCUAGAGUUUUGACUUGAAAUUCAAAUCUUCAGUUUGUGAAGACUUGUGGGCAAUUGGGGGGAAUUUUCAAAGCUCAAUAACUUGUGAGUGAAGGCAAAGGCAUGUCUAUUUAUAAGCAUAAGGGAAGGCAACCCUCAGAUUUUCUAAUUUUCUUUUAGUCCCUAUUUAAUUUUCAGAUUAGCCCUCUAUUUUUUGACUUGUUUCUCGAGUUAACAUCCUAACUUUCUGUAAUUUUCAGUUUGAACCCCAUCUAGAAGAUUCUAGGUAGUUCUAAAUUCAGUUAUUAUUACAUUCCCUUCCUUGCAUUACCCCAAUUAACCUUUUAAAACUUGAAAAUUACUAAACUGAAUCAUCCCCCUUCUAUCACGGUCUACUAACCCCAACUUUCUAAACUAACCAUGGUUAAACCAAUCAGUUAAAAAAUUUUAAACCAAAUCUAACUAACUAUUGAUUUUCAGAUUAACAAUUGUUAUUGUCUGUUAACAAUCAAAUAAAAUUAAUUAAUAACAAUGAAAUCAAUAUGAAACUAGAAUCUUACCAUUGGCAAAUACAGGUAAAUCCAUGCAGUCAGAAGUAUUUAAUCCAACUAAAACUAAUCAAAAUCAUAGACCUCAAACACUAAUUAUAGGUUACUUAAUUGAAACCAAACACAACUUCGACAGAAAUCAGACAAAAUAGAAUCAAACAGGAUAAAUUCAACAACAUUAAAUAGAACCCUAAAAGUUUAUCUCAUUUAGCCAUGAAAGCAAUCAACCGAAAGGCAGCAAAAUAAAUAUUCGAGCGCAAACUACGAACAAUCAAAACUCAAUAAAGUGACGAACUAUUUAGCUAAAUUUUGUUAAUGAAAAAUGGCAGAGAAAAUAAUAGGAAAAAAGAAAACAGAUGAGACAGAACAACGAGUACUAAGAUAGGAGGAGAAUAAAGAAGGGAGAAACAGAACAAACAAAAUGAAAUGAACAAAGAACUCACUGAGUCGACUUGGGCUGAGGGAUGACCUUCCAAUUUAAACUUCGCUAUAACAUCAAUCACUCGUUCUUUGUUCUAGAGCGGGUAAAAACCACGGGAAAUGGAGAGGGGCUUUGCAUGCUGAAUCUCCCAUAUGAACUUCAAUUGAAUUAUCAUAUUCGAAAUUUUAGGAGCUUGGUCGAUAUUUGAAGGGGGAGGAGGACAAAUAUAAGACGAGAGAGGUAUGGUGGUUAAAAUGUAUCGAUUUGGGGGUGAAUUGAGGUGGCGUUGCCACCGAGAACCAAGGCGCCGCUAGGUUUUUUAAAGAUUUGAGCCGUUUCGAUGGGGUUUGAGGAAAAGCAAUUAGGGAUUUGGGAUGGGGUGGUGGAGAGGACUUGAUGGUGUUCUUUUGGGAAUGAUUGGCGGUGGCGCCGCCGAUGGAGAGUGAUGGAAUUAGGGGCGGCUAGCUAAGGUUUCUCCGAGGGAGAUGAGCGAGGGAGAUGAUGGGGUUAUUUUGGAACUGAUUUAUCUCCAAAGAUUUUCGGACAUAUGAAUUGUAAAGAGGGGAAACUUUG
Molecule: long non-coding RNA, 2847 nt
Filed under: Nicotiana benthamiana
Lineage: Eukaryota; Viridiplantae; Streptophyta; Magnoliopsida; Solanales; Solanaceae
Description: long non-coding RNA (NBEN_LNC033030)
Source: RNAcentral